Gorilla gorilla gorilla (western lowland gorilla) is the source of this 306-nucleotide unclassified non-coding RNA. It matches the Rfam family "Metazoan signal recognition particle RNA". Rfam says of the family: The signal recognition particle (SRP) is a universally conserved ribonucleoprotein. It is involved in the co-translational targeting of proteins to membranes. Lineage: Eukaryota; Metazoa; Chordata; Mammalia; Primates; Hominidae. The record is from Ensembl.
GUCAAAAGACAGUUGUUGCUGGCUUCUGUAGUCUAAGCUACUGAGGAGGCAGAGGCAGGAUGAUCACUUGAGCCCAGGAGAUGUGGGCUAUAAGUGCGCUUAAGCUGAUGGGGGUGUUCAUAUUAAGUUAAGCAUCAAUAUGGUGACCUCCUAGCAGGAAGGGACCACCAGGUGGCCUAAGAAGAGUUGAACCAGCCCAAAUCAGAAACAGAGCAGGUCAAAUCUUCUGUGCUAAUCAGUAGUGGGAUCAUGCCUAUGAAUAGCCACUGCACUCCAGCCUGGACAAGAUAGUGAGACUCCGUCUCU